Molecule: ribosomal RNA, 420 nt
Filed under: marine Metazoa environmental sample
Lineage: Eukaryota; Metazoa
Description: SSU rRNA
Rfam family: Eukaryotic small subunit ribosomal RNA
Source: RNAcentral
AGCUCCAAUAGCGUAUAUUAAAGUUGUUGCGGUUAAAAAGCUCGUAGUUUGAGGUCUGUUCCGGACUGGCUGGGGAGGUCACCGCCCGGUGCUUUCCCGUCAGGUUCCGAACAGCUUCUGCCGCGAGUGGAAGCCCAGCCGGUUUUGCCGGGGUGCUCUUGACCGAGUGUCCCGCGCAGCCGGCCAGUUCACCUUGAACAAAUGAGAGUGCUCAAAGCAGGCUACUCUUAAAACUAAAGCCCGAAUGUUACCUGCAUGGAAUGAUGAAAGAUGAAUUCGGUUCCAUUUUGCUGGCUCUGGGAACCUGAAUUAAUGAUAAACAGGGACUGUCGGGGGCAUCCGUACUACGACGCGAGAGGUGAAAUUCAAUGACCGUCGUAGGACGAACAACAGCGAAAGCAUUUGCCAAGAAUGUCUUCG